This 429-nucleotide ribosomal RNA is filed under the name Chloroflexota bacterium. RNAcentral describes it as "Chloroflexi bacterium partial 16S ribosomal RNA". It matches the Rfam family "Bacterial small subunit ribosomal RNA", at positions 355 to 776 of the family's 1533-position model. Lineage: Bacteria; Bacillati; Chloroflexota. The record is from RNAcentral.
UGGGGAAUAUUGCACAAUGGGCGCAAGCCUGAUGCAGCCAUGCCGCGUGUAUGAAGAAGGCCUUCGGGUUGUAAAGUACUUUCAGCGGGGAGGAAGGGAGUAAAGUUAAUACCUUUGCUCAUUGACGUUACCCGCAGAAGAAGCACCGGCUAACUCCGUGCCAGCAGCCGCGGUAAUACGGAGGGUGCAAGCGUUAAUCGGAAUUACUGGGCGUAAAGCGCACGCAGGCGGUUUGUUAAGUCAGAUGUGAAAUCCCCGGGCUCAACCUGGGAACUGCAUCUGAUACUGGCAAGCUUGAGUCUCGUAGAGGGGGGUAGAAUUCCAGGUGUAGCGGUGAAAUGCGUAGAGAUCAGGAGGAAUACCGGUGGCGAAGGCGGCCCCCUGGGCGAAGACUGACGCUCAGGUGCGAAAGCGUGGGGAGCAAACGGG